Molecule: transfer-messenger RNA, 360 nt
Filed under: Psychrobacter sp. KH172YL61
Lineage: Bacteria; Pseudomonadati; Pseudomonadota; Gammaproteobacteria; Moraxellales; Moraxellaceae
Rfam family: transfer-messenger RNA
About the family: Bacterial tmRNA, also known as 10Sa RNA or SsrA, is named for its dual tRNA and mRNA-like properties. Its role is to liberate the mRNA from a stalled ribosome.
Source: Rfam by way of RNAcentral
GGGGAUGUUCUGGCUUCGACGCUGGUGAUGAAACUCAAUGAUGCAUGUCGAGAGUGUAUGUCCUCUCGUUAAUCAAACAUAUAUUGUUAUAGUCGCAAACGACGAAACUUACGCUCUAGCAGCUUAAACCCUGCUUACUGCGCUGCCGAUUACCUAUAGUUGGUUAGCCCAGUUGAAGCGUCCGCAUAUAGGUUCGCCACAAGGGAUUGUCUCAAUCGCUUGGGUUCAAAAGUAGAGAAUCGUCCAAUCCAUCCCUGACUGUCGGAUCGGUGCGGAUUAAAUUUAAAGACAGAAACUAAACAUGUAGAUUCAUGAGCGUAAUGCUGGCGGACGCGGGUUCAACUCCCGCCAUCUCCACCA